UUUUAAUCCCAAAUGGAGAUAAUGAGGGCCUGAAGCAAGAUCAUGGUACUAGGAAUAAAAAGCAAGCUUCCUGUGAGCUGCCCUAUGAAGAGAACCAAGUGGCAAGAAACUGAAGAUGAUGGUCUCUGGUCAACAGCCAAAAACAACCAAGGCCCUCCAUUGAACAGGCCUUUGACCCAUCAGGAAACCAAGUGCUGUCAACAACCAAAUGAGCUUUCAUUCAACCAGGAGCUCAACCAGGAGACCAGAAAUUAGACCACUUGCUAUGAUGUGCGCUGACCACCAGAUGGCGGUGUGGACCAUGGCGGGCGUUGGCGAUGCAGCGCUGGCAGUGGGCGGCAGUAGAGGCUCUGCUGGCCCCGAAUGAGAGUGGGACUACAGUGGGAUGGUGGAGCAGUAAACAUGUCCUCAGGUGAGGAUAUAAACAAAAAACCAAACAGCAUCCAGUGAAGUUACCAAAGCUAACAGAGGAUAU
Molecule: long non-coding RNA, 475 nt
Organism: Eptesicus fuscus (big brown bat)
Lineage: Eukaryota; Metazoa; Chordata; Mammalia; Chiroptera; Vespertilionidae
Exons: 4
Source: RefSeq, a predicted model, not a curated record